ACAAUAUCAACUAACUUGGCUGGCCCUAAAUCGAAACUGAGUGUGGCCAGCUUAUCCUCAGACAUAGAUGUGCUGUCUGCUCUAAGCAAGGGCAUCCCAUGUUUAAGUGAGUGUGUUGAAGAAACAUUGCCAGCUCCUGAGACCCAGGACAAAGGAGAGCCUGCUGUUUCAGAGUCCACCACUCCCAGUCAAGGGGAUUCAGUGCCCAAGAAGGUGCCUUGUGUUCUAUCCACAGUUUUCUCACAGUCAUGCAGCAGCACAAGUGACAUUU
This is a non-coding RNA of Caretta caretta (loggerhead turtle), 271 nucleotides long. NCBI's taxonomy places the organism in Eukaryota, Metazoa, Chordata, Testudines, Cheloniidae. The record is from RefSeq and is a predicted model, not a curated record.